RNAcentral lists this ribosomal RNA (981 nucleotides) under uncultured Bacteroidota bacterium. RNAcentral describes it as "bacterial SSU rRNA". It matches the Rfam family "Bacterial small subunit ribosomal RNA", at positions 9 to 989 of the family's 1533-position model. The record is from RNAcentral. Lineage: Bacteria; Pseudomonadati; Bacteroidota.
GAGUUUGAUUAUGGCUCAGGAUGAACGCUAGCGGCAGGCCUCAUACAUGCAAGUCGAGGGGCAGCAGGACACUUCGGUGUUGCUGGCGACCGGCGCACGGGUGCGUAACACGUAUGCAAUCUGCCUUGUACUGGAGCAUAGCCCUCGGAAACGAAGAUUAAUACUCCAUACAGUCUUACUAGCGCCUGCUAGUAAGAUGAAAGCUCCGGCGGUACAAGAUGAGCAUGCAUCCCAUUAGCUUGUUGGUGAGAUAACAGCUCACCAAGGCUACGAUGGGUAGGGGUUCUGAGAGGAAGAUCCCCCACACUGGCACUGAGAUACGGGCCAGACUCCUACGGGAGGCGGCAGUAGGGAAUAUUGGUCAAUGGGCGCAAGCCUGAACCAGCCAUGCCGCGUGCAGGAUGAAGGCCCUCAGGGUUGUAAACUGCUUUUGUAUGGGAAUAAAAAAGUCCUUGCGAGGACUCUUGAAGGUACCAUAAGAAUAAGCACCGGCUAACUCCGUGCCAGCAGCCGCGGUAAUACGGAGGGUGCAAGCGUUAUCCGGAUUUACUGGGUUUAAAGAGUGCGUAGGCGGCUUCUUAAGUCAGUGGUGAAAGCUUAGCGCUUAACGCUAGAAGUGCCACUGAUACUGGGAAGCUUGAGUCAAGAAGAGGUAAGCAGAAUUCAUAGUGUAGCAGUGAAAUGCUUAGAUACUAUGAGGAAUACCAACAGCGAAGGCAGCUUACUGGUCUUGUACUGACGUUGAGGCACGAAAGCGUGGGUAGCGAACAGGAUUAGAUACCCUGGUAGUCCACGCCGUAAACGAUGAUCACUCGAUGUACACGCUAGUCGUGUGUGUCUAAGCAAAAGCAUUAAGUGAUCCACCUGGGGAGUACGCUCGCAAGAGUGAAACUCAAAGGAAUUGACGGGAGUCCGCACAAGCGGUGGAGCAUGUGGUUUAAUUCGAUAAUACGCGAGGAACCUUACCUGGGCUCGAAUGUC